Chenopodium quinoa (quinoa) is the source of this 740-nucleotide long non-coding RNA. RefSeq lists it as uncharacterized. NCBI's taxonomy places the organism in Eukaryota, Viridiplantae, Streptophyta, Magnoliopsida, Caryophyllales, Amaranthaceae. The transcript has 4 exons. The record is from RefSeq and is a predicted model, not a curated record.
UUUCAUUCCCCUCUUCUUUCUUUCUAUUUCCUCAACGCCGUUUAUCUCUCCUCUCUCCUUAAACAAACCCUAAAAUCAACGAGCUCCUGCUCCUUCCUUAUCUUCUUUCUCUUCUUCCUCUUUCAUGUUGUCGGCGCGUCAGUCGGUCCUAGCAACGUCGGUAGUGGCGCAAGGAGCUGGUCAAACCCACCUCUCGUCGUUUCCCCCUCCCGAAAUGAUUUUUCCUGAAGAGCAUGGGAUGGUUCUUGACGAGUUCAACCUGUCAACAGCUGUUUUCAGGAAAGUUUCAAACUGAAUUAGGAAAAAGCUAGGCUGCUGAGGUUAUAUCUAGAAAGAAAUCAACCUUGGCUAGUAAAGGAAAAUAAGCAGCAAACUAACCGAAGUCUUGAUCUUUACUGAAGGGGCUGAUGGCUCUUCUACACAAAUAUCAAUGUUUGUGUUUGACAGGUAAAACAGCAGCAACAGCCAGCACCAGGCAGGCACAGCACCACCAGACAACAGCUAACAGCCAGUAGAUAGCCAAUAGGAUUUGCAAAACCAGGCCAUAAACCAAACAGCAGCUGAAAGAGCAGGAAACAGAACUAGUAGCCUGAACCAGACCUAAGCAGCCAGAAACAGAAAGCAUUAGCAAGCAACAAUUUCUCCAGACCUUGAUUCUGUAUUUUUUUUUCUUCAGUUUUUUAAAGUGUAAUAUUACAAGUUAUUGAAGAAAAUAUAUGUGUUUUAGUAUAUUAUGAUUA